Molecule: ribosomal RNA, 292 nt
Filed under: uncultured bacterium
Lineage: Bacteria
Description: partial 16S ribosomal RNA
Rfam family: Bacterial small subunit ribosomal RNA
Source: RNAcentral
GUGCCAGCAGCCGCGGUAACACGUAUGGGGCGAGCGUUGUUCGGAAUUAUUGGGCGUAAAGGGUAUGCAGGCGGUUUCGUAAGUCUGGUGUAUAAUCCCUCAGCUUAACUGAGGAUCUGCGCUGGAAACUGUGAGACUAGAGUACAGGAAGGGGAGUUGGAAUUCCAGGUGUAGGGGUGAAAUCUGUAGAUAUCUGGAAGAACAUCAGUGGCGAAGGCGAACUCCUGGCCAUGUACUGACGCUGAGAUACGAAAGCGUGGGGAGCAAACAGGAUUAGAUACCCUCGUAGUCC